CAAAAAUUCAUUUGAAAAAAAAUCUGGUUAGAUUUCAUGGUAAUCUCUCCAGGGACACAAUAAUAAAUGCAGAGAGGUGUUCAUAAAGAGCAAUAUCAGAUGGCACCCCAAAAAAGGAUAUGAAAGAACACCAAAAGGGAACUCUAAAGAUUUAGUUGGAAAAGUAGAUGCAGAGAGGUGUUCAUAAAGAGCAAUAUCAGAUGGCACCCCAAAAAAGGAUAUGAAAGAACACCAAAAGGGAACUCUAAAGAUUUAGUUGGAAAAGUAGCUUCAGUCAUCCUAGCCUAGUCUGUGAUGCUGGGAAAAAACGUAAUAUGCUGUUUAUUGCAGCACUAUUCACAAUAGCAAAGACUUGGAACCAACCCAAAUGUCCAACAAUGAUAGACUGAAUUAAGAAGAUGUGGCACAUAUACACCAUGGAAUACUAUGCAGCCAUAAAAAAGGAUGAGUUAACGUCCUUUGCAGAGACAUGGAUGAAGCUGGAAACCAUCAUUCUGAGCAAACUAUCACAAGGACAGAAAACCAAACACCACAUGAUCUCACUCAUAAGUGGGAACUGAACAAUGAGAACACUUGGUCAUAGGGUGGGGAACAUCACACACUGGGGCCUGUCAUGCGGUGGGGGGCAGAGGGAGGAAUAACACUGGGAGAGAUACCUAAUGUAAAUGACGGGUUGAUGGAUGCAAUGGGCCAGCAUGGCACAUGUAAC
Molecule: long non-coding RNA, 709 nt
Filed under: Homo sapiens (human)
Lineage: Eukaryota; Metazoa; Chordata; Mammalia; Primates; Hominidae
Description: HSALNT0073421
Source: RNAcentral